This 1839-nucleotide ribosomal RNA is filed under the name Triticum aestivum (bread wheat). Its description in RNAcentral is "partial small subunit ribosomal RNA". Lineage: Eukaryota; Viridiplantae; Streptophyta; Magnoliopsida; Poales; Poaceae. The record is from RNAcentral.
AUGGCUCCAGCUUGCUGGUUCUUGGUCUUUGUCUGGGUAUGGUGGCUGCCACUGAUGCUCGCGGGGGCCAAGGAGGAGCAUCGAGUGGAAUACUGCCCGGCUGAGAGGUGCGGCAACCUCACAGUAUCCAAUCCAUUCUGGAUCGCUGACGGGGAGGCGGGAAGAUCGUGUGGCCCCUCGGACUUCCAGGUCAGUUGCUUAAACGACAGCAAUCCAUUUCUCCUGAGCUCUGGAUUCACUGGCUUCGGAAUCAUGGACAUCUGGUACGAGGACCGCAAUCUGCGUGUCGUUGAUGUACAUAAAGAGGAAGACUUCAACGUCUCAAAGAGCAGCUGCAAUUUCCCGAGUUGGAACACCUCCAGCAAGCUGGCACUGCCGUUCAAGGUCAACCCCACCAACCUGAACCUCAUCUUCUACAAGUGCACCAAGACGGUGGCGCUGCUGGAGGUGAGAUGCGUGAACGCGAGCAACAUGUUUGUUCGUGCGGGAGUGCGUUUCGAUGAGACGGGGAACUACCAUGACUACGUCUUGGAGGGCUGCGAUGCUAUCGUUGUGCCGGUGAUGGGUUCAUCGGGCUGGGCCAACGCGAGCGACUACGAGCAGCUCAUCAGCCGUGGUUUCCUCUUGGCAUGGGAUGAAACUCUUCAACCUGCAACUGCACGUAGCGAGAGGAGAGGGAAGAAGAUUAUGCUAAUAGGUAUGACAUCAGCAGCUGCGACCAUUCUCUUUGCAUGUCUUUAUGUGCUGAUAUGGCAUAAAAAAGGGAAAAGACUAUGGUUUCUCCUUUGUAAGAAGGCUAGGAGCAACACUGAGAAGAAUUACGAGGCCAUGAUAAUAUCAUAUGGACCCCUAGCUCCAAAAAGAUACAUGUACUCAGAGGUAAUGAAGAUAACUUCUUCUCGCCGUGAUCAGCUUGGAAAAGGUGGCUAUGGUGUGGUUUUCAAAGGAAGACUACACGAUGAUCGUCUGGUUGCUGUGAAAUUCUUGCAUGAUUGCAAAGGAAAUGGGGACGAGUUUGUGAAUGAGGUUAUGAGCAUUGGCAGGACCUCUCAUGUUAAUAUUGUUAGCUUAUUUGGAUUUUGUUUGGAGGGAUCAAAACGAGCUCUUAUAUAUGAGUACAUACCCAAUGGUUCCUUGGAUAAGUACAUUUACUCAGAGAACCCUAAAGAAAUUUUAGGAUGGAAGAGGCUCCUUGCGAUAGCAGUGGGGAUUGCUCGUGGCCUCGAAUACUUGCAUCAUGGCUGUAAUAUACGCAUCGUCCAUUUUGAUAUCAAGCCCCAAAAUAUCCUUCUAGAGAGGGAUUUUAGCCCAAAGAUUGCUGAUUUUGGUCUAGCUAAAUUGUGUCAUACAAAGGAAAGCAAGCUUUCAAUGACUGGAGCCAGAGGAACAAUUGGGUUCAUUGCUCCAGAAGUUCACUCCCGAAGCUUCGGAGUGGUUUCAACAAAGUCAGAUGUUUAUAGUUAUGGAAUGAUGUUGCUGGAGAUGGUUGGAGGCAGGAGAAAUGUAAAAUCAAUUGUUGCAAAAUCCAGCGAAAAGUAUUUUCCUGACUGGAUUUACGACCACUUUGCGCAAGAUGAUGGAUUACAAGCAUGUGAUGUCACAUCAGAAACUGAGGAAAUCGCGAGAAAGAUGACCUUAAUUGGCUUGUGGUGCGUACAAAUAUUGCCUGCAUAUCGCCCUACCAUAACCAAAGUUCUAGAAAUGUUUGAGAGAAGCGCAGAUGACAUGGACAUGCCACCGAAGCAAAACUUCUCUGGAUUGCUUGAAAGUUCAGCUCACAAUAUGGAUGUACAAAGUUCGAGUUCAACUAGACCUGAGGAGAUCAGCUUUGUGCAUUAA